AACGAACGCUGGCGGCAGGCUUAACACAUGCAAGUCGAACGCCCCGCCAGGGGAGUGGCAGACGGGUGAGUAACGCGUGGGAACAUACCCUUUUCUACGGAAUAGCUCUGGGAAACUGGAAUUAAUACCGUAUACGCCCUACGGGGGAAAGAUUUAUCGGGGAAGGAUUGGCCCGCGUUGGAUUAGCUAGUUGGUGGGGUAAAGGCCUACCAAGGCGACGAUCCAUAGCUGGUCUGAGAGGAUGAUCAGCCACAUUGGGACUGAGACACGGCCCAAACUCCUACGGGAGGCAGCAGUGGGGAAUAUUGGACAAUGGGCGCAAGCCUGAUCCAGCCAUGCCGCGUGAGUGAUGAAGGCCUUAGGGUUGUAAAGCUCUUUCACCGAUGAAGAUAAUGACGGUAGUCGGAGAAGAAGCCCCGGCUAACUUCGUG
RNAcentral lists this ribosomal RNA (431 nucleotides) under uncultured bacterium. RNAcentral describes it as "partial 16S ribosomal RNA". It matches the Rfam family "Bacterial small subunit ribosomal RNA", at positions 29 to 507 of the family's 1533-position model. The record is from RNAcentral.